CUGGCAAGAGACAGAGCAGCUGGAGUGGUGUGGAACGCACUGGGAGCUGAGACGAAGAGCACCUGAUCCUUCUUCCACAGCGACAGCAUCCAACAACAUGUGGAUAAAGACAGAGCUGACCUUUCCUGGGGACAUCUUGUGGUCUCCAGGCUGACUUGCACUGGCCUCCUCUUGAAUUCUUGAUGAUGUUGCCUGGCUGAGCUGCAGCAGGAACAACCCAGAAGUUUUCAAAGAAUAAGCCUAUCCUUUUGGAUGUGAGAAGGAAUAACAUACCACCUACAAAUCUUUACCUCUCAUAUAAUUCCUGGAUUACAACAUCACUCUUCCACUACCAAUAUGUCGAAGAUAUCAAAAUCUGCCCUUACAAUGGAAAAUCCACUACUUCAAAGAAAAAAGAAGCCAAGUUACAUCUUGCUAAACUCCAGCAAGAAACAUAAUAUUAUCCCAAAGGGACUCAUCAUCUG
This is a long non-coding RNA of Alligator sinensis (Chinese alligator), 464 nucleotides long. RefSeq lists it as uncharacterized. NCBI's taxonomy places the organism in Eukaryota, Metazoa, Chordata, Crocodylia, Alligatoridae. The transcript is spliced from 3 exons. The record is from RefSeq and is a predicted model, not a curated record.